UAGGUAGGUGGUCUCAUUUGUCUGGGGUGAAAGCCUUGAGCUUAACUCAAGAAGUGCCCCAGAAACGGUGAGACUAGAGUCCUGGAGAGGGUCGUGGAAUUCCCGGUGUAGCGGUGAAAUGCGUAGAGAUCGGGAGGAACACCAGAGGCGAAGGCGGCGACCUGGACAGGUACUGACACUCAACUACGAAAGCGUGGGGAGCAAACAGGAUUAGAUACCCUGGUAGUCCACGCUGUAAACGAUGGGUACUAGGUUUGGUGGGUCUUGACCCCCGCCGAACCGGCGCUAACGCACUAAGUACCCCGCCUGGGAAGUACGGUCGCAAGACUAAA
Molecule: ribosomal RNA, 332 nt
Filed under: uncultured Pseudomonadota bacterium
Lineage: Bacteria; Pseudomonadati; Pseudomonadota
Description: bacterial SSU rRNA
Rfam family: Bacterial small subunit ribosomal RNA
Source: RNAcentral